Molecule: unclassified non-coding RNA, 253 nt
Filed under: uncultured Candidatus Altimarinota bacterium
Lineage: Bacteria; Candidatus Altimarinota
Description: uncultured Candidatus Gracilibacteria bacterium contains 16S-23S intergenic spacer region
Rfam family: Bacterial small subunit ribosomal RNA
Source: RNAcentral
GACAGAAGGUGCAAGCGUUACUCGGAAUCACUGGGCGUAAAGCGUCUGUCGGCGUCUUUCCACGUCUGGCAUUAAAUCUCGGAGCUCAACUCCGAACCUGUGUCGGAAACGAGAAAGAUAGAGUCAGUCAGAGGCAUCUGGAAUGUCGUGUGUAGGGGUAAAAUCCGCUGAUACACGAUGGAAUGCCAAAAGCGAAGGCAGGAUGCUGGGACUGUACUGACGCUCAGAGACGAAAGCGUGGGGAGCAAAGGGG